GGGGUGUUGUGGUGUUUUGUUUUGUUUGUACAGCACUUAACACAAUCCAAGACCUGCUCGACUAUGGCCUCUGAGAGCUGUAGUUACAUAAAUAUUAAAUAACAAUGUUGUUAGUAUUUGGUGCGAUGAAUGUCCUAGUUAGUAUAAAAAAUAUAGUCUGCACAUUGUAGUAGUAACUUCAUUAGGUGCCUAACCAUCAUAGAUGCUCCUGGAUUCCUUACAUAAAAGAUUAGAACAGGUAAAAAUAUUUAACUUCUGGCAAAAUCAUAACACUUUUUUGGCACGAGCCAUUGAUAUGCAUCUUCUGAAAUAAAAUAAUUACUUUAAUCUGAUUUAAAUGGACCUGAUUUCAUUGCUCUCCAGAGAUCAACAAUAAAGGUAUUCUACAGAAGCAGAGAGAACCUGUACCACUUCUACCUCCACGUGCUGCAGCCUCCAAAAACCCUAUAUUCUCUGACUUCAGAGAGCAAGUUGCUUUGCGGGGAAGCUAAAUGCUCAGUAAGAUAUGCAUUAGUUUGCAGCACCUUUUUAAGGUCCUAAGUGCAGACCUCUUAUUGGCUCUCAUGCUCUUAGUGCAUCACAUAUGCUGUUAGUGACUUUGCACUUAUCAGUGAAAAUCACUAGGGAAUGAUGCUUAGAGUACAGGAGCCUGACUGUGUGUUCUCAAGUAUUAUGCAAUUUUCUAAAGUGUUUAAUACUUGUAAUACAUUUGUCUCUCCUCUUAAAAAUAAUUAAAAACCCUUUGGAAACCUCACAGAAGCAGAGAAGCUAUCCUACAUUUUAUAGGCAGCAUCCAGAAUUGUCCACUGGUAGGUGUGGCAUCACAUGCAAUUGGAAUCAGUGAUUCACAGAAUGUCCGCACGUCAGGGCCUGUAUUAAAACAACAACAAAAGAUUUCUCCUUGCUUCUUUACAAGUCACAAUGAGGAAAAAAGUUAGACUCCUUUGAUGUGAAAAAAGCAAUAUAUCACUUCUCUGAAAGAACAUUUCUCAGUCUCUCAUGUGAAAAAGGAUUAACACCUCCAACAAAGGUCCUCUAGAUCACAGAACUAAGCAGCAAUACUGAACAGUAUUCCUGAGGAGUGGAAAAACUGUAUUUAAGCAAGAGAUUGUUUGAACUGGCAAACAGAAGCUUUUUAAUAGCUGAAGAUCUAAGAUAAAGGAUUAAACCUUUCUGAAGUAUCUACACUUAAACUACUCUAAAGACAAGGAAGCGAGUUUAAAUUCAUGAAAGACCAUCUUUGUUUUCCUAAAUGAACAGUGUUCUUUAGUGUCAAAAUAGAAUCUAUUCACUGCAUUGUGAACUAUAUACACUUUAUUGCAAUACCAUAUAUCUAUUAGUGUGGUCUUGUUUAGGGUUUACUUUAUUGAAUUCUGAUUUGAUUUGAGCAGCUGCUGUGGACACAAUAUUUUUGUCCACAUGUAAACUGAUCAUUAAGAUAUUUUAAUGUGGACAAAAUAAAGAAAUAUGCUGCUUA
Long non-coding RNA from Gopherus flavomarginatus (Mexican gopher tortoise), 1477 nucleotides. RefSeq lists it as uncharacterized. The record is from RefSeq and is a predicted model, not a curated record. Lineage: Eukaryota; Metazoa; Chordata; Testudines; Testudinidae. The transcript has 2 exons.